AGGACGAACGCUGGCGGCGUGCUUAACACAUGCAAGUCGAGCGGUAAGGCCUCCUUCGGGGGGUACACGAGCGGCGAACGGGUGAGUAACACGUGGGUGACCUGCCCUCAGCUCUGGGAUAAGCCUGGGAAACCGGGUCUAAUACCGGAUAGGACCAUGGCCUGCAUGGGUGGUGGUGGAAAGCUAUUUGCGGUGUGGGAUGAGCCUGCGGCCUAUCAGCUUGUUGGUGGGGUGAUGGCCUACCAAGGCUGCGACGGGUAGCCGGCCUGAGAGGGUGUCCGGCCACGACUGGGACUGAGACACGGCCCAGACUCCUACGGGAGGCAGCAGUGGGGAAUAUUGCGCAAUGGGCGAAAGCCUGACGCAGCGACGCCGCGUGAGGGACGAAGGUCUUCGGGUUGUAAACCUCUUUCAGCAGGGACGAAGCGAGAGUGACGGUACCUGCAGAAGAGCACCGGCCAACUACGUGCCAGCAGCCGC
This 480-nucleotide ribosomal RNA is filed under the name uncultured bacterium. Its description in RNAcentral is "SSU rRNA". It matches the Rfam family "Bacterial small subunit ribosomal RNA", at positions 26 to 518 of the family's 1533-position model. The record is from RNAcentral.